CAACGCUACCCCGUGAAUCCACCCUACCAUGAGUUCUGCCGUACCAAGUUUGCUGUUCCUGUGGCUGUUUGCCCAGGCUUCUGCCUCUGGCCAUGAGUUCUGCCUUAACACGUUUGUUUGCCAGUCCCUGUGGCGGUUGGGGAUUCUGCUACAAAGACAACAAAGUAUGAGUUUCCCCAUCCUGCUCUCUGUGAAUUGUGAAUUAAGACAACAAUGAAGUGGGAACAUUCCUGAAAUAUAUGAGAUAUUCCAUCCAUUCAUUUUCUAUACUGCCUAUCCUGUUCAGGGUAGCUGCUGAAAGGUGGAAUACACCCUAGACUGGUCACUAAUUAACCGCAGGCACACAGAGAGAUAGACAACGAUUCGCACCGUCACUGAGUGGGAACUGAACCCAUGUUGCCUGCACAGAAGGAGUACUGGUGAUGUGUAGUCAUAGCAGUGGAUUGAGAAGCCUGUAGCUGUGGCCCAAUGGUUAAGAUCAUCGCUUGCCACCGUGGGGGACCUAGGUUCAAGACCCAGACCGGACCAUCUGCCAACAUCCCACGGACUCACGGCUGUGGUGUCCUGGAGCAAGACACUGAUACUCCAAACUGCUCCCCAGGUGCUUCAGCUACACCCUGCCCCCUGCUCCAGUGUGUUCUACUAACAAGUGUGUGUGUUCACUGUGAUGGGUAAAAUGCAGAGAACAAUUUUUUUUGUGCAUCCAUGCAUGUUCUUGACAAUAAAGGUGAUUCUUCUUCUUCUACACUGA
Long non-coding RNA from Phyllopteryx taeniolatus (common seadragon), 751 nucleotides. RefSeq lists it as uncharacterized. NCBI's taxonomy places the organism in Eukaryota, Metazoa, Chordata, Actinopteri, Syngnathiformes, Syngnathidae. The transcript is spliced from 2 exons. The record is from RefSeq and is a predicted model, not a curated record.